UUUAAGUAUUCAAUUUCAUUGUAAUUUUGCUGAAUAAACAAUAUUUUCCCAUCUUACCUCAUAAAUGGACUGGAUUUUGGGUGUAUGGACCAUAUUAUGGAGUCACUUGACCUUGUCUUACAUGAUAUUUAUUGUUUUAGUGUGAAUGAUGGAGAGUCCACUGUGAAACUAUUCUUUCAUAUUUAUUUAUAUAAACAUUAUGUAGUAAUUUAAACUGUUCUUCCUUUUCUACUUUUCAAUAUAUUUAUUCAAGCUUUCAAUAUAUUUUCACAGCGUUGUCUCCUCUGAAUAGGAUAGAACACCAAAGCUUUCUCCUUCCAGAGCAACGUCCAGCAGACAACAAGUGCAGAUAAAAGUUUUCAGUGGUCUUAAACAAACUUGUUUCUCUUUCCUGUGCCAAUUUCAAUACGAUCCGCCCUCUUUUUUCUUUUCUUUUUUUUUUUUUUUUUUUUUUGGUUAAGUAAAUAUUACAGCUUCAAGCUUCCCAUCCAAGAAGCUACUCUAAGCGAGCGGUGAGUAACGGGCAGAACAAUUACAUUCUUUUCCACUAGAGGGCAGUACAACUCCUUGCUCCAAUUAAAUGGGUUGCCAGAAGAAGACAAAGAAGAAAUUACUACAAAUGAGACCACGCAGCACGUGAUCUGCUGGCCGGACUGACCAGUUUAUCGUGAGGACAAAAAUGAAUUUUUCUUUAACUUAGUUUGUCACAGAAGGACGUUUGUAAUCCAGAGGGGAAAAUUAUUAUGAUUAAUGUUCCCAAUUACUUCAUCUUAAUAAAUAAAUACAACACAACCUGCGUUUGCCUCUUUGAUCCAUUUCUUUGUUCAUACUCAAAUACCGUGAACUGGCUUUUGAGUAUGCACAAAGAAAUGAACACAUCAAGCUGCUUGUGCCUUUAUAUGUUCUGCCAGUUCUUUCUCUAUAUGGUCGUCAAAGACUGGACAGGCAAGUGCAGUUCCUUUAUAUCCUUUAAUGGCCUUGUUUCUUUUCCAUCUAUCUUUUUCUUCUCCAUAGAUCGUUUUAAUGUCAUCCUGCAUAUGUGCAUCUUCUUCGCCACCUGAAUGGACUUCCCCUUCUCCACCUUGCUCACUAUAGUUCACAGCUCUGUUUACGUCCUCUAACGGAGUGGAAGCUCUGCCUGUCCUCCACAUUAUAACUCUGUGGCAUAACUACAGGCGUAUAGACUCA
Astatotilapia calliptera (eastern happy) is the source of this 1188-nucleotide long non-coding RNA. The record is from Ensembl. NCBI's taxonomy places the organism in Eukaryota, Metazoa, Chordata, Actinopteri, Cichliformes, Cichlidae.